GAUUUCAUAAUAUAAUAAAUAUAUUAAUUUGCAAGAUUAAAAAUGAGUCUUCUGAAAUU
RNAcentral lists this transfer RNA (59 nucleotides) under Pentapycnon charcoti. RNAcentral describes it as "tRNA-Cys". Lineage: Eukaryota; Metazoa; Arthropoda; Pycnogonida; Pantopoda; Pycnogonidae. The record is from RNAcentral.